GAUGAACGCUGGCGGCGUGCCUAAUACAUGCAAGUCGAGCGAACAGACGAGGAGCUUGCUCCUCUGACGUUAGCGGCGGACGGGUGAGUAACACGUGGAUAACCUACCUAUAAGACUGGGAUAACUUCGGGAAACCGGAGCUAAUACCGGAUAAUAUAUUGAACCGCAUGGUUCAAUAGUGAAAGACGGUUUUGCUGUCACUUAUAGAUGGAUCCGCGCCGCAUUAGCUAGUUGGUAAGGUAACGGCUUACCAAGGCAACGAUGCGUAGCCGACCUGAGAGGGUGAUCGGCCACACUGGAACUGAGACACGGUCCAGACUCCUACGGGAGGCAGCAGUAGGGAAUCUUCCGCAAAGGGCGAAAGCCUGACGGAGCAACGCCGCGUGAGUGAUGAAGGUCUUCGGAUCGUAAAACUCUGUUAUUAGGGAAGAACAAAUGUGUAAGUAACUAUGCACGUCUUGACGGUACCUAAUCAGAGAGCUACGGCUAACUACGUG
This 497-nucleotide ribosomal RNA is filed under the name uncultured bacterium. Its description in RNAcentral is "partial 16S ribosomal RNA". It matches the Rfam family "Bacterial small subunit ribosomal RNA", at positions 28 to 507 of the family's 1533-position model. The record is from RNAcentral.